RNAcentral lists this microRNA precursor (76 nucleotides) under Nannospalax galili (Upper Galilee mountains blind mole rat). Its description in RNAcentral is "miRNA (ENSNGAG00000002867.1)". The record is from RNAcentral. Lineage: Eukaryota; Metazoa; Chordata; Mammalia; Rodentia; Spalacidae.
UUCCAAAUCCAGAGGCUUAUAGCUCUGAGUCUUGAGAACUAGAGGCUUAAGGCUCCAAGCUUUCAAAGCAGGAGGC